UACGCAGGGUGCGAGCGUUGUCCGGAAUUACUGGGCGUAAAGAGCUCGUAGGUGGUUUGUCGCGUUGUUCGUGAAAACUCACAGCUCAACUGUGGGCGUGCGGGCGAUACGGGCAGACUGGAGUACUGCAGGGGAGACUGGAAUUCCUGGUGUAGCGGUGGAAUGCGCAGAUAUCAGGAGGAACACCGGUGGCGAAGGCGGGUCUCUGGGCAGUAACUGACGCUGAGGAGCGAAAGCGUGGGGAGCGAACAGG
This 253-nucleotide ribosomal RNA is filed under the name uncultured bacterium. Its description in RNAcentral is "partial 16S ribosomal RNA". It matches the Rfam family "Bacterial small subunit ribosomal RNA", at positions 524 to 776 of the family's 1533-position model. The record is from RNAcentral.